UCCAGGAGAGGUGGCGCAUUCCUGUAAUCCCAGCAGCUCGGGAGGCUGAGGCAGAAGGAUCGCAAGUUCAAAGCCAGCCUCAGCAAAAGUGAGGCCCUAAGCAACUCAGUGAGACCCUGUCUCUA
RNAcentral lists this small RNA (125 nucleotides) under Marmota monax (woodchuck). The record is from RNAcentral. Lineage: Eukaryota; Metazoa; Chordata; Mammalia; Rodentia; Sciuridae.